ACCUGGGUGGCUCAGUUGGUUGAGCAUCUGACUUUGGCUCAGGGCAUGAUCUCAGGGCUCGUGGGUUCGAGCCCCACAUCAGGCU
RNAcentral lists this transfer RNA (85 nucleotides) under Felis catus (domestic cat). It matches the Rfam family "tRNA". From Rfam's summary of the family: Transfer RNA (tRNA) molecules are approximately 80 nucleotides in length. Their secondary structure includes four short double-helical elements and three loops (D, anti-codon, and T loops). Lineage: Eukaryota; Metazoa; Chordata; Mammalia; Carnivora; Felidae. The record is from Rfam by way of RNAcentral. RNAcentral also lists the same sequence under 2 other names.